Molecule: long non-coding RNA, 478 nt
Filed under: Solanum lycopersicum (tomato)
Lineage: Eukaryota; Viridiplantae; Streptophyta; Magnoliopsida; Solanales; Solanaceae
Description: long non-coding RNA (SLYC_LNC000456)
Source: RNAcentral
ACGGAGGUCACAUAUUAGGAUGAAAGGUUAGUAGAUAGUGAAGUGUUGUCUUGUUGUUCGAAGGUUUAGGCCUCGUUCGAGUAUGCUUAAUACUAGUCUAUUCAUCUAGUUCUUGCUUUAUAUAUAUUUCAUGUGUUGUUUAUUGAACUCUGAAGGGUAGCUCAACUGGUAAAGGCUUGAGGACAAAGUCCUUCAGGUUGCCAGUUCGAGCCCCAGCAGGGCCACUGGAGGCAUUACAAAUUGGCCGCGUCUUCAGAGCUCAGUGGAACUAACCGUGGUGCACCCGCCUUGAAACAGCGGGAUCCGAUAGAUAUAGCUAAUCGGAUUCGCAAAGCAAUAUUCGAAAACUACGGCAAAAAAAAAAUUAUUUAUUGUGUUUCUAUCAUCACAUUAUUUUGUUGUUGUUCCUUUCUGGUAUAUAUUUUACAAUGUACUUGUUAUAAUUGUUUUGCACUUGAACAUGUACUAAAUAAACAAU